UUUCAGUGAAAGUAUAUUUUCAAAACGACAUUUAUUCAGGAUGGGCAACGGCCGUCGUGAGCGAGGAAGCCCACCAGCCUCGAGGUUUUGUGGACCUUGCUUGUUCGCGGGGAGGAAAUUCCAUCUGCAGAAUGUUGUGCAGGAAAAGCCACCCUGAACGCACAGGCUACUGCGAGAACCACUCCCGCUGCGUGUGCAAAACACCCCCGUCCGGCCACAGUUCAUGAUGGGCUGAAGGUGCUCGACUAUACGUGCCAAAAGGGCGUCUUUCAAUAAAAUGAGGCCCUCUCUAGC
This is a long non-coding RNA of Rhipicephalus microplus (southern cattle tick), 294 nucleotides long. The record is from RefSeq and is a predicted model, not a curated record. NCBI's taxonomy places the organism in Eukaryota, Metazoa, Arthropoda, Arachnida, Ixodida, Ixodidae.